GACGAUAUGGCCGAGUGGUCUAAGGCGACAGUUUUGAAUGCUCCUUGGCGUACAAUAGCUGUUUCACUCUGUGAGCGUGAGUUCGAACCUCACUGUCGUCG
This is a non-coding RNA of Cronartium quercuum f. sp. fusiforme G11, 101 nucleotides long. Lineage: Eukaryota; Fungi; Basidiomycota; Pucciniomycetes; Pucciniales; Coleosporiaceae. The record is from the annotation of a GenBank genome assembly.